UGCUCUUCCUGGAGGAGGACUUAAACAUAAGUUUACGGUGGAUACUACUGAUACAUUUUGGUUUUUGGUAAGUAUACUAGUGAUACAUUUACUUUUGCUUUGAAAAUUAAAAUUCAAACUUGAACCGUGGAUGCAACAGCAGUAUCCCCGCGCAGUAUAUAAAACGUUCCUGCUGUUCUCGAUCCUGUCUAAUUUAACUUCUAGUUUCAUAACGAGUGCAGAGCUCGUCAUUUGAACUCACGGAACGGCCUUCCGAAGAAAGGAUCAUAUCUAGGAAUGAAUUAUGAAGAAGAACAAUAUGAAUAUUGAAACGACCUCCAAAGACUACAAUUGGCUUCUGAUUUGGUGCCAAGCGGCCGGAAUUUUGGUAGUGCUAGUUGAUUUUCUUGAAGAUGGUUCAUGGAUGUUUGUGUUGUAGUUGUCUCAAUAACAAUAUCUGGUAGGCAUUGCCUGCUGUUUGGCAGAGAAAUAAAAUAAUUGAAUUAUUGUGGAA
Long non-coding RNA from Mangifera indica (mango), 493 nucleotides. RefSeq lists it as uncharacterized. Lineage: Eukaryota; Viridiplantae; Streptophyta; Magnoliopsida; Sapindales; Anacardiaceae. The transcript has 2 exons. The record is from RefSeq and is a predicted model, not a curated record.